This 459-nucleotide ribosomal RNA is filed under the name uncultured bacterium. RNAcentral's name for it is "partial 16S ribosomal RNA". It matches the Rfam family "Bacterial small subunit ribosomal RNA", at positions 338 to 795 of the family's 1533-position model. The record is from RNAcentral.
CCUACGGGUGGCAGCAGUGAGGAAUAUUGGUCAAUGGGAGAGAUCCUGAACCAGCCAAGCCGCGUGAGGGAAGACGGCCCUAUGGGUUGUAAACCUCUUUUGUCGGAGAACAAAACCCGGGACGUGUCCCGGACUGCGUGUAUCCGAAGAAAAAGCAUCGGCUAACUCCGUGCCAGCAGCCGCGGUAAUACGGAGGAUGCGAGCGUUAUCCGGAUUUAUUGGGUUUAAAGGGUGCGUAGGCGGUCCGUUAAGUCAGCGGGAAAAUUGCGGGGCUCAACCCGGUCGAGCCGUUGAAACUGGCAGACUUGAGUGGGCGAGAAGUACGCGGAAUGCGCGGUGUAGCGGUGAAAUGCAUAGAUAUCGCGCAGAACUCCGAUUGCGAAGGCAGCGUACCGGCGCCAGACUGACGCUGAGGCACGAAAGCGUGGGGAUCGAACAGGAUUAGAUACCCUAGUAGUC